CGCACAUUGCGCCCCUCGGUAUUCCGUGGGGCAUGCCUGUUCGAGCGUCAUUUGGACAAUCUCAAGCUCUGCUUGGUGUUGGGCGCCUGUCCUACCUCUGGGUGCGGACUCGCCUUAAAGCAAUUGGCGGCUGGUACUAUGGCCUGGAGUGCAGCAGUAAUGUGCUCCCUGUCCUUGGUCCAGCCCCCAGAAGCGAAACCUUUUUAGCUUGACCUCGAAUCAGGUAGGGAUACCCGCUGAACUUAA
Molecule: unclassified non-coding RNA, 246 nt
Filed under: Teichospora sp.
Lineage: Eukaryota; Fungi; Ascomycota; Dothideomycetes; Pleosporales; Teichosporaceae
Description: partial contains 5.8S ribosomal RNA, internal transcribed spacer 2, and large subunit ribosomal RNA
Source: RNAcentral